GGUUUGAUUCUGGCUCAGAUUGAACGCUGCGCAUGCUUUACAUGCAAGUCGAACGGCAGCACGACUGUCUGUGGCGAGUGGCGAACGGGUGAGUAAUGUAUCGGAACGUGCCUAGUAGCGGGGAUAACUACGCGAAAGCAGAAGCAUUACCGUAUACCGCCCUUCGGGGGAAAGCGGGGGGACCUUCGGGCCUCGCACUAUUAGAGCGGCCGAUAUCGGAUUAGCUAGUUGGUGGGGUAACGGCUCACCAAGGCGACAUCCGUAGCUGGUUUGAGAGGACGACCAGCCACACUGAUCAGACACGGCCCAGACUCCUACGAGAGGAAGCAGUGGGGAAUUUUGGACAAUGGGGAAACUCCCAUCCGCGCCUAUCCCGCGUGUGCGAUGAAGGCCUUCGUUGUAAAGCACUUUUGGCAGGAAGAAACGGCACGGGAUAAUACCCGUGCAACGACGGUACUCUGCAGAAUAAGCACCGGUUAAUCAUGCGCCAGUGCCGUAAUACGUAGUGUUAAUCGAACAAUGGGCGAAGCGUGCGCAGGCGGUUCGGAAGAGAUGUGAAAUCCCGAGCUUAAUCUUCUUGAACUGCAUUUUUAACUACCGAGCCGAGUGUGUCACGAGAGGAAUUCUGCGUGUAGCAGUGAAAUGCGUAGAUAUGCGGAGAACACCGAUGGCGAAAAGCAUUCUGGGAUAACACUGAGGCUCUGCACGAAAGCGCGGGAGCAAACAGGAUGAUACCGGAAUCACGCCCUAAAACGAAGUCAACUAUUGCUAAAUUUCGGCCUGGUAGCGCAGCUAACGCGUGAAGUUGACCGCCUGGGGAGUACGGUCGCAAGAUUAAAACUCAAAGGAAUUGACGGGACCCGCACAAGCGGUGGAUGAUGUGGAUUAAUUCGAUGCAAACGCGAAAACCUUACCUACCCUUGAUACAGUUCAAACCAGAAGAUCGAGUGCUCGCAGAGAAACCGGAACACAGGUGCUGCAUGGUCCUGUUUAAACGCCUGUGUCGUGAGAUGUUGGGUUAAGUCCCGCAACGAGCGCAACCUUGUCAUUAUUGCUACGAAAGGGCACUUAAUGAGACUGCCGGUGACAAACCGAUAUGGAUGACGUUAAGUCUCCGCCGGCUCCUUAUAGUAGGGCUUCACACGUCAUACAAUGGUCGGGACAGAGGGUCGCCAACCCGCGAGGGAGGGGAGCCAAUCCCAGAAACCCGAUCGGGAACUGGAUCGCAGUCUGCAACUCGACUGCGUGAAGCUUGAACGCAGGUAAUCGCGGAUCACAUGUCACGGGUGAAUAUGUUCCGGGUCUUGUACACACCGCCCGUCACACCAUGGGAGUGGGUUUUACCAGAAGUAGUUAGCCUAACCGUAAGUGAGGGCGAUUACCACAGUAGGAUUCAUGACUGGGGUGAAGUCGUAACAAGGUAG
Molecule: ribosomal RNA, 1424 nt
Filed under: uncultured Bordetella sp.
Lineage: Bacteria; Pseudomonadati; Pseudomonadota; Betaproteobacteria; Burkholderiales; Alcaligenaceae
Description: partial 16S-23S ribosomal RNA intergenic spacer
Rfam family: Bacterial small subunit ribosomal RNA
Source: RNAcentral